This 253-nucleotide long non-coding RNA is filed under the name Rattus norvegicus (Norway rat). RNAcentral describes it as "long non-coding RNA NONRATT006543". Lineage: Eukaryota; Metazoa; Chordata; Mammalia; Rodentia; Muridae. The record is from RNAcentral.
GUCUUUUGUGGGCUACAUGGGCCAUGUCAACUCUUCAAAAUUGCUGUGUCCUUGCAAAGCAGGCUGACAUAUUGGCAGAUGGAAGCUCGAUUAUCAGGAGAGGGGUCAACUGAGAGAUCUCCUGUACUCCAAGGUCGACUGAAUUUCAUCAUGGCAGCCAAGAAGACCUUGAACUGCUGAGGCAGUUUACAGGCAGACCCUGUAUACUCCAUCCCACUUGAAAACUCAAAAUAUAUGGCUUUGUAUCACUUAA